This is a non-coding RNA of Durio zibethinus, 2958 nucleotides long. The record is from RefSeq and is a predicted model, not a curated record. Lineage: Eukaryota; Viridiplantae; Streptophyta; Magnoliopsida; Malvales; Malvaceae.
ACCUGCAACAGCAAUGCGUUGGAUUAGCUCUGACUAGCUAGAGAUGGGAAGAGACAAAAGCGAAAGAAGCUCAUCAGGUUCUGUAAGCAGGUCUCAAGGACACAGAAAUUUGGAGGGUGUUAAAUCACGCCAUUCGCCUAAGACGAGUUUGAAUCAAGGCAAAGCAAGUGAGAGAUCAAAAACAUUAGUCUCGGGAAAGAUCCAACGCUGUUUGAAAUCUGUUUCUGAUAUUAAGUCAAUUAAGAAGAUUCUUAAUCCACUGGGACCAUUUUCAAGUUGGUGGGAUACAUUAUUUCUACUGUCAAGUGUGAUUGCCAUCUCACUAGAUCCUUUGUUUUUCUACCUCCCCGUCGUCAAUGAAGACAAAAAGUGCCUUUUCAUGGACAGAAAGUUGGGGAUUGCAGCAAUGGUAUUGCGUUCACUCUUGGACGGCCUUUAUAUAAUAUACGUCACUUGUCGAGUUUUAUCUCCUUGUGCAAAUAAAAGGGGUAAUUCAUCAAGAGAUGCUUGGGCUAUAGCAAGGGGAUAUUUCCUGUUACGCCUCUUUCUAAUUGACAUCAUUUCGGUUCUUCCACUGCCACAGAUAGUUGUUUUGGUUAUCAUUCCAAUGAUGAGAGAUGUGAGAUUUUUGGAUGCUAUGAACUUGUUGACAAUUGUUGUCUUCUGCCAAUCCAUUCCAAGAAUUUUUCGGAUCUACCAGUUGUUCAAGAGAGACAAAAGAACUUCAGCCACACUAGCUGAAGCUACAUGGGCUAAAGCUGCAUGCAAUCUCUUUCUUUACAUGCUUGCCGGUCAUAUAAGUUAACUGACUCCCACAUCCAGUUACAUGAUUUGUUUAUAUAUUGCAUAGCUCUCAGGACUUGGCCGGGCAUGAUCUAAUUUGAAAGGCAUAUAUGUUUGAGCAAUGCUCAAAGUCAAACAAAUUCGCACAUCCUAAGUUAUUUUAUGGUAACUUAUUUUCGAUUAAAAUCAUCAAGUGGCUUGCUCAUCUUUUAGGCACUGGGAGCUCUGUGGUACAUUUUGGCCAUAGAACGAGAGACUACAUGCUGGAAAAAGGCUUGCGCAAAUCACAUUGAAUGUGUCAAUGGAUCAUUUUACUGCAAUGACAGUCUCGGAAACCAUACAUUUAUAAAUGAUUCUUGCCCUAUAAGUACGCCAAAUACCAAACUCUUUGAUUUUGGAAUAUUCCUUGAUGCUUUACAGUCUGGUGUUUUGGAAGUGGUGAAUUUUCCACAGAAGUUUUUUCACUGUUUCCAUUGGGGUCUACAAAAUCUGAGUUGUUUCGGGCAAAAUCUGCGCACAAGUACCUGUAUUUGGGAGAACUGUUUUGCACUAUUUAUUACCGUCUCCGGUUUACUUCUAUUUUUAUCUCUGAUUGGGAAUGUGCAGGUUUGGCAACUCUUAGUUUACUUCAAAAUUUUUUCAGUGAACAUUGAAGACACCAUUUAAAUCGGAAAAAAUCAAUUUAUUUUCAAUUGUUGUUAAAUAUGUGUCAUGCUCGGGCUGCUGAUUUUUUGCAUCAAACCUCUGCUUUCACUACUAGCAAUAUGCAGUCAUGCAUUCCUUGAGCUUUCGCAAUCUCUGUCAGUGUAUACUGUUAAUGUUCUGUUAUCCGAAGCCAUGCAUAAUUCAUAGUGAAGCAAAAUGGUAUUCAUAUCCUGCUUUAAGGGAAGCUGGCUGUGUUCACUAGUCUUGUCAGCACAUUCCAACUCUCACUUCGUCCCAGACAAUUUUCUGCAUGGAAAUCAAAUAUUACUUGAAGAAACUACAUGAUAUUGCUGUUUGUAUUCUAACUGAUCAGUGAGUUUGGAUUAAGUAAGAGUUUUGGUGUAGACUCUAAAAAGCAUGGACUCUUUUUCUUGAUGGCAAUAAUAAUCCAGAAUUUGCUGAACUGUUUCCUUUUUGUGAAACAGAUUUAUCUGCAGUCCAAAACCCUCAAAUUGGAAGAGUUGCGACUAAGAAACCGAGAGAUAGAGCAGUGGAAGUCGUUUAAGAAACUUCCCUAUAAACUCCAACGGCAAAUUAAACAAUAUCAGAGAUACAAAUGGCAAGAAAGCAGAGGUGUUGAUGUGGAGAAUCUUCUAAAAAAUUUUCCCAAGGAAAUCAUAAUGAAUAUCAAGAGUGAACUCUUCUUGAAGCGGCUCACGAAGGUAAGUUCCUUCUGUUUACAAAGAACAGAUUAGCUGCUCAUUACAAAUUAUUAAUCCUCUACUAUAGAUGAAUUCAUUCUCAUUCUAGUCAUUUAACUAUGGUAAGGUGAAACGAUUUAAUUUUCUGGGCGAUCGAGCGUUGAAUGAACUCUGUUACUAUGCGAAGCCUGUGCUCUUCAUUAAGCGCAGUUACAUUACAAAGGAGGGAGACCCAAUCGAUAAAAUGCUAUUUAUUGUGCAAGGAAAACUAAGGACAUAUUCAAGCAGCAAUAAAACAUCAGAGUCUGAUGAUACUGCUUACCUACAAGAUGGUGAUUUCUGUGGAGAAGAACUGCUAGAAGAAUGGCACCCGUUCCAGUCACGGCACUUUCCCAUCUCUAAAAGAAAUAUUCAAGCACUUACUAAAGUGGAAGCGUUUUCUUUAUCUGCUGAUGACUGGAAAAACCUUUGCAUUUGGGAAGUCAGGAAAUUACAAUUUUUCCGUCGCAACCAUCGCCGAAGGAGAGAGUAUGAUCAUCUUCUGGAUAUUAAAAUAGCUGGAGGAGUUGAUAACAUUUCAGCCUCGGGUAACACUAGCAUCGACGCCUCGAGUCCUGAUAAUAGUGCACUUGAAACUAUGCAACUUAUUAAUUCACGCCUGUCAGCUGGAUCACCAAGGCCGGAACCAUUGGCCAUUCGUGAGGAAGAAGAACAGUAGAUUGGCAGAGAACUUGUUAACACUUUUUAGAUACUGUAAUCAGCAUCGUGUUGUUACAAGCUCUGUUUCGAGGAUGUUCUGACAUGGGAACUUCUAGUUUCACGGGAAAUU